Molecule: RNA transcript, 3607 nt
Organism: Rhododendron vialii
Lineage: Eukaryota; Viridiplantae; Streptophyta; Magnoliopsida; Ericales; Ericaceae
Gene name: pentatricopeptide repeat-containing protein At1g74850, chloroplastic
Exons: 6
Source: RefSeq, a predicted model, not a curated record
CACUUCUUCAACCCUCCUUCCGCCAUUUUCCCUCGCUCCUUCCCUCUCUCUAUCUCUCUCUCUCUCUCAGUAUCACAGACCACCAUUUCCGCUGAGAGAACAACCGAAACCCUUCUCCACUUCAUCUUCUCUCUCUCUCUCUCUCUCUCUCUCUCUCCUCCGAAACCUCAACAAAAUCCAACCCCACUCAUGCGAAACCCAAAUAACCCAUACUAAUUUGACCGAAAUGACCCUCUCAUCCCGCCUAAUUUCCAUCCCCAACCCUCCCUCUCUUUCCCCAACCAUCCUCCCGCCCCAAAACCCCAACCACUCCUUCUCCUUCCCUUCCAAAACCCACGAACGGAGAAGACUCCUCGAGCUCGGUUCGAUGAAAGCCAAGGCCAAGGCGAGGAUGAAACAGCUCGUCUUCAACAGCAACGCGGUCGUGGUCGAGGAGGGAAAGUACAGCUACGAGGUCGAAACCCUAAUCAACAAGAUCUCCAGCCUCCCGCCGCGGGGGAGCAUCGCGCGGUGCCUUGAGGUUUUCAAGAACAAGCUGAGCCAAAACGAUUUCGCCCUCGUGUUCAAGGAAUUUGCUGCCCGUGGUGACUGGCAGCGGUCUCUCCGCCUCUUCAAGUAUAUACAGCGCCAUAUGUGGUGCAAACCUAAUGAGCACAUAUAUACCAUUAUUAUCGGAUUGCUUGGACGCGAGGGCUUGCUAGAGAAAUGCCGUGAGGUGUUCGAAGAAAUGCCCAAACAGGGGGUUCCCCGUAGUGUCUUCUCAUUCACCUCCAUAAUCAAUGCAUAUGGCAGAAAUGGCCAAUUCGAGACUUCGUUAGAGCUUCUGGAGAGGAUGAAGAAGGAGAGAGUUUCGCCGAGCAUUUUGACUUACAAUACAGUGAUCAAUGCUUGUGCUAGAGGCGGAUAUGAUUGGGAGGGCUUAUUGGGUCUGUUUGCCGAAAUGCGACACGAAGGUAUACAACCUGAUCUUGUGACUUAUAAUACAUUGCUUAGUGCUUGUGCGAGUAGGGGUUUAGGUGAUGAGGCAGAGAUGGUCUUUAGGACUAUGAACGAGGGUGGUGUUUUGCCUGAUAUUACCACAUAUAGUUAUUUGGUUGAGACAUUUGCGAAAUUGGGUAGGCUAGAGAAGGUUUCUGAGCUUCUAAGGGAGAUGGAGAUCGGGGGGAAUUUGCCAGAGGCAUCUUCUUAUAAUGUCUUAUUAGAGGCUUAUGCACAUUCGGCUUCAAUUAAAGAGGCAAUGGGUGUUUUUGGGCAAAUGCAAGAAGCAGGUUGCACUCCAAAUGCGGCUACUUAUAGAAUUUUAUUGAAUUUGUUUGGGAGGCGUGGCAAGUAUGAUGAUGUUCGUGAACUUUUCCUUCAAAUGAAAGUGAGCAAUACGGAGCCGGAUGUUGCUACUUACAAUAUACUUAUACAGGUUUUCGGAGAAGGUGGGUACUUUAAGGAGGUAGUGAUUUUGUUUCAUGACAUGGUGGAGGAGAAUUUGGAGCCAAAUAUGGAGACAUAUGAGGGGUUGAUAAUUGCUUGUGGAAAGGGCGGGCUUCACGAGGAUGCAAAGAAGAUUCUACUUCAUAUGAAUGACAAGAUGUUGGUGCCAAGUUCAAAGGUUUACACAGGGGUUAUUGAAGCAUAUGGACAGGCUGCAUUGUACGAGGAAGCUCUUGUUGCAUUUUAUACGAUGAACGAGGUUGGGAGCGAGCCAACUAUUGAAACUUUCAACACACUUAUUCACGCAUUUGCAAGAGGGGGGCUUUACAAGGAGUGUGAAGCGAUAUUGAGGAGAAUGGGUGAGUGCGGUAUCACACGGGAUAGGGAGUCGUUUCAUGGUAUAAUCGAAGGAUUUAAACAAGGGGGGCAUUUUGAAGAAGCUAUAAAAGCUUAUGUUGAGAUGGAAAAUGCCGGAUAUGAUCCUGAGGAGGGUACCCUUGAGGCAGUAUUGAGUGUUUACUGCUUUGCAGGUCUUGUUGAUGAAAGUGAAGAGCAGUUCCGGGAAAUUAAGGCAUUGGGUGUACUGCCCAGUGUCAUGUGCUACUGUAUGAUGCUGGGAGUUUAUGCAAAGGGUAACAGGUGGGAUGACGCCUACAAAUUGCUGGAUGAAAUGAUUACAAAGAGGUCAUCCAAUAUUCAUAAUGUGAUUGGGCAGAUGAUCAAGGGAGAUUUUGAUGAUGGCUCUAACUGGCAGAUGGUUGAGUAUGUGUUUGAUAAACUUAACUCUGAGGGCUGUGAUUUGGGAACAAGAUUCUACAACACACUCAUAGAAGCCCUUUGGUGGUUGGGGCAGAAGGAACGGGCUGCCAGAAUUCUCAAUGAAGCAACAAAGCGGGGGCUUUUCCCGGAGUUGUUUCGUAUGAACAAACUUGUGUGGUCUGUUGACGUACACAGGAUGUGGACAGGUGGUGCGUGCACAGCAAUAUCAAUUUGGCUUAACAGAAUGUAUGAAAUGUUCAAGAUGGGGGAGGAUCUCCCUCCAUUGGCAACUGUUGUAGUAGUGCGGGGGCACAUGGAGAAGAGCUCAAUAACCCGGGAUUUCCCCGUGGCAAAGGCUGCCUAUUCUUUUCUGAAUGACGGUGUAUCAUCGUCCUUUUGCUACCCCGGCUGGAACAAGGGGCGAAUAAUGUGUCAACGGCCUCAGCUUAAAAAGAUUUUGUCGGCUGCAGAAGGAUCGCCAGAAGGGUCAGAAAAUGUUAAGUUAAUAACUUCAAGUAACUCACCCUUUCCCCGCCUGGGAACAAGAACACCCAGAAGUGAUGUCAGGAGAGACGAGCACGGAAGUGCUGAUAUUGAAACACGAGUUAGAAUGGCAACAGAGCUUGUGACGAGCACGGUUUAAUAGAACAAAGUCUAUAGGUUACCUGACAAGGCUGAGUGGUAUGGCAUGGAGAUUUGAGAAUCAGAUCAAGAGGAACUGGGAUUUGUAAGAUUGCAUUCAGAUGUAUCGUAAUAUUUCCUCUUGGCAAAUAAUGGAUUUAUGGUGAUUGUUGUUGACUUCCAGCCUGCCAUUAUGCUGAGCUGAACCAAGAUAUAAUGCCAAGUCGAAGCAAUUGCCUACUAGUUUGGUCGAAGCCAAUUUUGCCUUGUGGCUUUACUAACAAGGGAUGGAAACGGAGGUGGAAUCUUGCAGGGCAAGGUUGUUAGUGUUACUCGGGUGGUCUCCUGAUUUUGAUGUCAGGAAGAGAUGCUUUAAUUGUGAACAAAUUAAUGAAAGAAAAGACAUUUAUAUUGUCGUAGUUGCUUUGAUGCCAUAUCAAGUAAAUUAACUCCUGGGUUUCUAGGAGAAAGAAAUUUGGAAACUACGUUUCAAGGAUUCUUCUAGAUGUAUUAAGUACCUAUGCUGGACACUCGAUACUCAGAUAAGGAACUUGGAUGCUCACCAAGAAAGCUUAUGUCGUAAUCUGAUUUACCACGAACUAUGAAUCAAACUCUUAUAUAAUUCGUUACAUAGCCUAAGGCACCUUGUAAACACCCUUUGUCCUUAAAUAUACAAGAAACAUGCUGAGAAAUAGAAAUAUUUUGGCAUCUCUCGUGUCUUUGAGAGGAAAAUUAGGAGAACCUGUGACUUUGAACAUACCCUCUGUCAACACGGCAGCCAAGUCUAGAAUCCUUAAACUAA